RNAcentral lists this long non-coding RNA (1261 nucleotides) under Anas platyrhynchos platyrhynchos (common mallard). Its description in RNAcentral is "lncRNA (ENSAPLG00000022701.1)". The record is from RNAcentral. Lineage: Eukaryota; Metazoa; Chordata; Aves; Anseriformes; Anatidae.
GAAAAUACAGAAAACUUUUAUCACAGACAGGCUGGAAAUGCCAUUAGUGAAAAACAGAUACUUCUUCAAGCACAUCAAAACUGUCAAUACCAGGUGCUUCAAAGAAAAAAAAAAAUCUGCUUUGAUUAUAGGAAGACUGUGGCAGAGGAAAUCCUUUCACAAGCUGUAUUAUCUAGUCAAAGAAAGAUAAACCAUGAUUAAUAAACUGCAUGCAGAUUUGUGUGGAUCAGACCUUGGAUUAUUCUGAGAAGUGAUUUUACAGAAACUCUUUGGUGUUUUUUUUUCUGUGAAUAACUAAGGAACUGUCCUGGGAGAACAGAAAACUUCUAACUUCCAAACCAUCUCAAAACUCCAAGCAACUUCUUACAGAGUAUAAAAUGGCAUUUCCCAGGGCAUUGGUAGUGAAGCUCAGCCAAAACAAAAUACAAGGCAUGCUUGGACUGCCCAAACAGUUGUGUUUUAGUUAAAAGUUUACCAGUUUGAGGGCUGUUCCAGCAGGUACCUGCACAUCAGUGCUGCUUUUUUGGCCUGUUUUUAAUGCAUCACAUGGCAAGUUUAGUUGUCAUUACUGAUAGUCACCUGUCAGGGCUUUAUCUGCUGGGAUUUGCUUUCACUCUUUUGCAUUCCUGUCUUUGUGCCUGUCAGUGUGUCCUUCAAUAUCUGUGUGUCACCCCACCUUGUGUCACAUUAUGCAUUAUACUCCUAUAAAUGCCUGGAUUCUCUUGUCAUCCUUUGGUCAGAGAAUCUCAGAUUAAUUUCUCAAGGUCCAACCAAGUUUUUUGAGGUUAACAAAUUCACCUCAAUUAGAUGUGGUUUGCAUUCAGCUAAAUAUUCUGGUCCUGACACAGGCUUAAAUAGUGUCUCAUUUUGGCAUAGCAUUCCUUGGAUGUCUCUUUUUUUUGGGCCCCCUUUUCCUGAGCCUGAAUGUGACACUCCGUGUCUUAGGUCAGAUGAUACAGAAGGGUUUGCAGGAAAUAUUGCAGCUGGCAGAUCUGUUCCCGUUAAAGAAGCUCCUUCGAGAAGAAGGGCUGGGCUGGAUGCAUGCACCCCUUGUUGCCACGCAACAGUCAGACAGAACCCCGGGUACCAGACACAGCUCAUCCAUCAUUUGGUGAUUUUUCUGUGUCCUUUGCAAAUGUGGCUUCCAGAACUGCACGCAGUCUUCCAGGCAUUCCAGUUGAGCCAAAGCCAGUGUAGAGCCAAACCCAUUCUCCUAGUCAGCAUGAUCUCCUCAAUGUUGCCCCAUGCCAGAACCACUUGA